AUGAAAACGAAGGCAUGUUGGGUACCCAAACCAGAGAACAGCUGUGAUGGCGUGUGGCCAUCUCAACGCCGCUGGGCUUUUAAUCCUACCUCCGGCCUCUGUGAGGACUUCCUCUACUGCACUGGAAACAGCAGCAACAACUUCCCUUCCUUUAAUGCCUGUAGGGACCAGUGCAUGUUGGGUGCAUGCUGCCUCCGCAAACCAAGGCAGGGUCUCUCCCCUGGCCACCAGCAUUACUCUCAACAUGGAUACAACAUCUCCACUGAGAACAGGACUCUCUGGGGAUAUGACCAGCAGAAGGUGGAGGAUGAAAUAUGGUACAGCAAUAUAGACUUCAACCAUACUGAGCUGGAAGAUCUGAAAGGAAACCUUACAAAGGCAGACUGCCGCAAGAAUCCAGAUUUCACUUUUACAUGUGAUUACCUCACUCUAAUACAGUGUCAGACUUUGGUGAAGGACCAAGUUGGAGAGGCACAAGUAAUGAGCUUCUCUCCCGGAUCGAAGUGCUCUGAUGUGAGAUGUGGUGGAAGUUGUGGAUGCUUCUCUCAACGCAAGCUCUGGAGAUAUGGGGAAAAGUUCAGGCAAGGCUGUGAAGAGUGCAUAUGCACACAUAGUGGCAGAAUUGACUGUGUGUGCAGACAUAUGACCCAGCGUAAAGAGAUUAGAGACCUCACGCUGAAAGAGAGGAGGUUGUACCAACGGGCUAUCAGGAAACUCUACGCUAGGCCAGCUGUGUGGAAGGGUUUUGCAUUACUGAGAGCUGAGUUCUCCCCUCUGGCUGGUCAUUAUGCCUUCUUCCUCCCAUGGCACCGCUACUUCCUGCGAUUAGUGGAGCGUGACCUACAGUCAAUGUCAUCAUGCAAACUGGCACUUCCAUAUUUUGAGUGGACAGUGGACUCUGGGUCUAUGAAGUCCUCAGCUGCCUGGCAGGCUGGAUUGUUUGGAGGAGACGGUGAGCCUGCCUCUGGCUGCGUCCCCCAUCACCCUUUCCAGGGCUUGACAUCCCGUUUCCACUGGUCCCCUUGUCUCAGACGGAACUUCAACUCCUCGGUGUGGCUGCCAGAUGCAGUGACCCUGCAGAGGACUGUAAACCAGGCAGACUUCCAAGUGUUCUCGCAGUCCCUGCAGACAUUUUCUGGCCUCUUUAGGCUUCGGGUAGGGGGUCACAUGGCUUCGCCUCUAGCCUCUUACGACCCUUUAUACCUGUCACACAUGGCAUUCAUGGACAAGCUGUGGGCACAGUGGCAAGAGAAACAUCAGCAUGGAUCUAAAAGACAAACUCAUAGAGAAAAUUAUGCUCACAGCAACAUCCUUUAUCCUGCUAAACAAAGGCAUGUUAAGAUGAAGCCUUUUGAUGUUACCCCUGAUGAUGUGAUUUCUUCUCAUCAGCAGAUGUGUGUUGUAUAUGUGCCCAUAACCAUUGGUGCACCUUGUAAUAUUACCUCAUUACAUACACACCCACAAGAAAGUUGGAAAUAUCAAAAGCGUAGCUUUGACAACAAUAGUUCAGGUGUUGGGAUUAUUGGUUUCAACCAACAUGGAUAUGAUCGUGAUGGCUAUGACCGGAGUGGUUGGGACAGGUGGGGCUAUGGCAAAGAUGGCUUUAACCACGACUUCAUUGAUAAGGAUGGAUAUGACAUAUCUGGUUUUAACCGCUACGGGUUCAACCGUUCUAAUGUGACCUGGUUUGGCUUGUAUAAAGAUGGGAUGUUUGAGAAUGAGAAAAAGAAUGAGCAUGACGCGACAGAUGAAAAGGAAGAGAGUAAAAAUAAGACACACAGAGACAAGAUAUUGUCAAAUCUCUUCAGUGACAAAGGCUACAAUAUCUAUGGAUUUGAUCCAUUUGGUUUGGAUCGUGGUGGGUUUGAUGCAUUUGGCUUUCGAACAGAUGGUUACGACAAGGACAGGUGCAACUGGUUCUUCAGUGGACCUCACUACCUGCGGUUCUUCUUCUACACGCAGCAACAGUUGAUGUCAUCCAGUGACCAAGCUUUAAACCGCAUCACCCGUACCUGCCCUCCAAUAACGCCCCUGCCCCAGCACUGGGCCAGGCAGGAUUGGAUGACUUUUGAUCCAGACAAAAGCAGUGCUCUGAAAGUUCAACAAGAGCAUGAAUGGAAGGGACAGAUUAAGCCAGAAAGUGAAGAUACUGUUAUGGGAGCUAAUCAAAAUACAAGCAACAUAUGGCUUCCAAUCACACCAGAUCACAGGUACCAGCAUUACAAAAAGAAAGUGGUAAUAGCCUCGCUAAGCCAGCCCACAGUUUGUUGUUUGAUGCUUAUUUUGGUCUGA
RNAcentral lists this long non-coding RNA (2292 nucleotides) under Dicentrarchus labrax (European seabass). RNAcentral's name for it is "lncRNA (ENSDLAG00005029837.1)". The record is from RNAcentral. Lineage: Eukaryota; Metazoa; Chordata; Actinopteri; Moronidae.